GAUGAACGCUGGCGGCGUGCCUAAUACAUGCAAGUCGAGCGAACAGACGAGGAGCUUGCUCCUCUGACGUUAGCGGCGGACGGGUGAGUAACACGUGGAUAACCUCCCUAUAAGACUGGGAUAACUUCGGGAAACCGGAGCUAAUACCGGAUAAUAUAUUGAACCGCAUGGUUCAAUAGUGAAAGACGGUUUUGCUGUCACUUAUAGAUGGAUCCGCGCCGCAUUAGCUAGUUGGUAAGGUAACGGCUUACCAAGGCAACGAUGCGUAGCCGACCUGAGAGGGUGAUCGGCCACACUGGAACUGAGACACGGUCCAGACUCCUACGGGAGGCAGCAGUAGGGAAUCUUCCGCAAUGGGCGAAAGCCUGACGGAGCAACGCCGCGUGAGUGAUGAAGGUCCUCGGAUCGUAAAACUCUGUUAUUAGGGAAGAACAAAUGUGUAAGUAACUAUGCACGUCUUGACGGUACCUAAUCAGAAAGCCACGGCUAACUACGUG
This 497-nucleotide ribosomal RNA is filed under the name uncultured bacterium. RNAcentral describes it as "partial 16S ribosomal RNA". It matches the Rfam family "Bacterial small subunit ribosomal RNA", at positions 28 to 507 of the family's 1533-position model. The record is from RNAcentral.